GAGGAGGAGCCUAUAUGACGAAGUCAUGUGUGAAAAAUGGCUCCGCCGACCUGCCGCAGAGCGCAAGCGAAGGGGCAUUACAUAU
RNAcentral lists this small RNA (85 nucleotides) under bovine gut metagenome. RNAcentral's name for it is "GA-cis RNA". It matches the Rfam family "GA-cis RNA". The record is from RNAcentral.